AACGGCCGUACCAUGCUGAAUAUACCGGUUCUCGUUAGAUCACCGAAGUCAAGCAUCAUUGGGCGCGGUCAGUACUUGUUUGGGUGACCACCUGGGAACACCGCGUGCCGUU
This 112-nucleotide ribosomal RNA is filed under the name Caerostris darwini. Lineage: Eukaryota; Metazoa; Arthropoda; Arachnida; Araneae; Araneidae. The record is from RNAcentral.